Molecule: long non-coding RNA, 1971 nt
Organism: Aethalodelphis obliquidens (Pacific white-sided dolphin)
Lineage: Eukaryota; Metazoa; Chordata; Mammalia; Artiodactyla; Delphinidae
Exons: 2
Source: RefSeq, a predicted model, not a curated record
CUCUGCGGCACGUGGGAUCCUCCCAGACCGGGGCACGAACCUGCGUCCCCUGCAUUGGCAGGUGGACUCUCAACCACUGCGCCACCAGGGAAGCCCAACUUCCACCAUCUUAAUCUUCCCAUUUGAGGAUACACUAAGAAGGCAGCCAUCUACAAGCCAGGAAGAGAAACUCCAGGCUCAGAAUAAACAAGAACCUGACCAUGCUGGCAUCUUGCUCUUGGACCUUCACCCUCCAGAACUGUGAGAAAUAAGUGUCUAUUGUUUAAGCCACCCCGUCUAUGAUAUUUUGUUACAGCAGCCUGAGCUAAAACUCAUCUUAAAAACUCUGUGCCUGGGGCUUUUUUUGAGGAAAGAUCUCUGAUUACAGGUUCAAUUUCUUGAAUGAGCAUUGUGUUAUAUUCAGAUUUUUCUAUUCUUGAUUCAGUUUUGGUAACUGAAAUACUUUAGAAUCAGCAAGGUCACGUUUCCAUUGGCAGGGGUGGGGGGGAGUAGACUGUGUCCCUGAGCACUGUCUCUGCCAUCAGAUCACUGUCAUCCAAGCCUGUUUUCCCACAGUAAUUUAUAUUUUUCUAUGAAAGUGUCCAAUUUUAUCUAAGUCUUAAAAUUCACUGGUAUCAGAUUUUUCAUGGCCUCUUUUCAUUCCUAGUCUUAAUUGUGCUUUUUUUCCCCCUUGAUCAAUCUUGCCAGAGAUUUGUCUGUUUUUAUCUUUUCAAACAAUUAGUUUCACUCAUCACCUAUAUGGCUUCUUUGUUUUAUAUUCCAUUAAUUUCAGCACUUAUUUCUAUAUUUUUCUACAUUCUUCCUUUUUAUUAUUUUUUUUCUACUUAAACCCUUAGAUCAUCAUUUUCAUUUUUGUUAUUUUUCCAAAAGUGCAUUCAGAGGCUGUAAAUUUCCUUCUAAGUACUCUUUCAGCUAUAUCCCAUAAGUUUUAGUUGAUAGCACUUUUGUCAUACAUUUCCAAAUAUCUUAUAAUUUCCACUAUGAUUUUUAACUUAUGAAUUUAUAUGAAUGUCAAUUUUUAUUUUUCAAUUUUACUUAUUUCUACAGUUUCCAACCAUUUUAUGAUUUGUGAGAAUUUUUAUUAUUGAUUUCUAAUUCUUGUGCAUUAUGAUAAAAAAUGUGAUUGAUUGGUAUGAUAUUGACUCUUUAGAAUUUGUGGCAAAUUGUGCCAUAGAGCACUAGUACUAUGUGGUCUAGUAUAUGGUCAAUAUUUAUAAAUGUUCCAUAUGUACUUGAAAAGAAUGUUUAUUUUUUAUUCAUGCUUUUCAAUAUAUUUGUUGUUUAAAUCUUCUAUAUCUUUACUAAUUCUUCUUGUCUGUUUUGUGUAUCUUUUGUCUGUUUCGAUGUUUUCAAGAGAGUUGUUUUAAAUUCUCCCAUAGAUUAAGAAUUGACAGUUUUCCCUUCUGUCUUUGUGUGUCUGAAAAUGUCUUCUGCUCUUACUCUUACUCAUUUUAAAUAAGAUUUCAGUUGGUAAAGAAUUCUUGGUUGACAGUUAUUUUCCCUCAGCAGUUUAAAUACUUACUCCCUGUCUUUAGGGCUCUAUUGUUGUUGAGAAGUAUCUCUUGUUAAAUUGGGCAAUCAUUCAGAACAUAUAUUUUCUCUUUGGUAGCUAUAGGUAGAAAAUAAACCUCUUUGUCCUUGAUGUUUUGCAGUUUUACUAUUUAUCCUGUUCAGGACUCAUUUUAUAUAUUCAGUCUAAGGAAACUGUUAAUAUUAUCUCUUUGAAAAUUGCCUUUCCCCCACUUAUUCUAUUCUCCUUGGAUUCCUUUUAGUUGUAUGUGAAACAUUUUAUUAUACCAGUCUCUUAAUUUUUCUCGAAUAUUUUUCUAGUUAUCUAGCUCUCUUAUUCACUCUGGGUAAUAUCCUCUAGUCUGCCUUCUAAUUCACUAGUUCUCUCUUCAGCUGUGUCUAGUUUAUUGUUUAAUCCAUCUAUUGAUAAUGAAAUAUUAUCAAUAAAUUUUGUUUCUUUCA